UACGUAGGGGGCGAGCGUUGUCCGGAUUUAUUGGGCGUAAAGAGCGUGUAGGCGGUCCGGUAAGUCAGCUGUGAAAGUCAAGGGCUCAACCCUUGAAUGCCGGUUGAUACUGUCGGGCUAGAGUCCGGAAGAGGCGAGUGGAAUUCCCGGUGUAGCGGUGAAAUGCGCAGAUAUCGGGAGGAAUACCAGUGGCGAAAGCGACACCCUGGCAUUAGCCUGACGCUCAUGUGCGAAGGCGUGGGGAGCGAACGGG
Molecule: ribosomal RNA, 253 nt
Filed under: uncultured bacterium
Lineage: Bacteria
Description: partial 16S ribosomal RNA
Rfam family: Bacterial small subunit ribosomal RNA
Source: RNAcentral